AACCGCGUAGCUCAGUUGGCAGAGCGUCGAUCUAUAGUAAUUCGAAGGUCGGGGGUUCAAGACCCAGCCGCGGCAG
RNAcentral lists this transfer RNA (76 nucleotides) under Paramuricea clavata. Its description in RNAcentral is "tRNA-Tyr". The record is from RNAcentral. Lineage: Eukaryota; Metazoa; Cnidaria; Anthozoa; Malacalcyonacea; Plexauridae.